Long non-coding RNA from Stegodyphus dumicola, 1122 nucleotides. The record is from RefSeq and is a predicted model, not a curated record. Lineage: Eukaryota; Metazoa; Arthropoda; Arachnida; Araneae; Eresidae.
GAAAACAGCGGAUCUUCUGGCACACAGCUCUAUCUCAUCAAGUCUUCGAGCAACUGCAGACUGCGAAACUCGGGUUCUAGUAGCAGCAUACAGCUCACAUGAGAGUUGUAAAACUGUAGAAGUCCUGUGUCGCUGAGCUAAAAGUGACAAGUAACGAUCCACCUUCGUUGUUUUUGAUGUUAGUUAAUCUUGCGUAACUCUUCUCUAUGUGGAUCCAGUGUCUUGAAACUGUUUUCACAAACUGGAGACGACACUAGGUUCUGUAAUAACUAACGUUACACUGAGCUCUGUAGCAAGCGGCGAAUGUCGUGAAGAAUUACGAGUUCCCAGAUCACUUAAAACCCCUCUCUUAAUUUUGCCCACGAGGUAUACGUUACUAAUAAAGGCUGCCCAGAUAGACAUGAAUAAGUCGGAAUCAUAAAUCUGCAACCCUCCUGCAACAUUCUACCUCUUAACAUCGAGGUUUAAUGGUGAAGAAACUUUUCAAGUGAAGGAAGUGUACUGAAGAAGCUAAUAACUGUCAAAAGCGAACUAGUUCAUGGCAUUUGUCAUUUCUCUGGCAAUGGGAUCUUAAAAAAAUCUUAGGAACAAAUAAGAAAACUUUGAAAAGAUGAAAAAUAUCUAAGAAAUGAAAGCAGUACCUGGAGCAGUGAAGUUAAAACAGAAAAUGGCACGUUAUGUAUGACUUGAGAAAAAGUUUUUGUUAUUUCAUUUGCCAGAAUGAAACAAGAAGAGGUAAAUGUAAGUAUAUUUAUCACCGAAAGGGUUACACGCAGCCUUCUAAAUACAAAGGACUAACUGUACCACGCAAAAAUUUACAUUUCUUUACCAUAAUAUAAUCCACAAAGCUGAUAUUUUAAAGCACUUAAAAUAAUAUUAUUGUAAUUUCGCCGAUUUAAAUAAUCUACUUUCAGUAUUUAUACAAAUACGCAACAUUUUGUUUCAGUAAUAUUUUGUCAAUAAUUAUUAUUCGCAGUUAUGGAUAACACUGUAACCUGUAUUAUUUAUCCUUUAUGAAAUUAUGCAAACGUUAAAUUUCAAAAUUUGUGUAUGGUAUGAAUAUUUCGCAUGUAUAUACUACUCGUCAAAAAAAAAAAAAAAAAAAAAAAAAAAAAAAAAAAA